UUAGAUACCCUGGUAGUCCACGCCGUAAACGAUGUCUACUUGGAGGUUGUGGCCUUGAGCCGUGGCUUUCGGAGCUAACGCGUUAAGUAGACCGCCUGGGGAGUACGGUCGCAAGAUUAAAACUCAAAUGAAUUGACGGGGGCCCGCACAAGCGGUGGAGCAUGUGGUUUAAUUCGAUGCAACGCGAAGAACCUUACCUACUCUUGACAUCCAGAGAAGCUUGAAGAGAUUCGAGUGUGCCUUCGGGAACUCUGAGACAGGUGCUGCAUGGCUGUCGUCAGCUCGUGUUGUGAAAUGUUGGGUUAAGUCCCGCAACGAGCGCAACCCUUAUCCUUGUUUGCCAGCACUUCGGGUGGGAACUCCAGGGAGACUGCCGGUGAUAAACCGGAGGAAGGUGGGGACGACGUCAAGUCAUCAUGGCCCUUACGAGUAGGGCUACACACGUGCUACAAUGGCAUAUACAGAGGGCAGCAAGACCGCGAGGUGGAGCGAAUCCCAGAAAGUAUGUCGUAGUCCGGAUCGGAGUCUGCAACUCGACUCCGUGAAGUCGGAAUCGCUAGUAAUCGUGGAUCAGAAUGCCACGGUGAAUACGUUCCCGGG
This 600-nucleotide ribosomal RNA is filed under the name Photobacterium damselae subsp. damselae. Its description in RNAcentral is "bacterial SSU rRNA". It matches the Rfam family "Bacterial small subunit ribosomal RNA", at positions 778 to 1378 of the family's 1533-position model. Lineage: Bacteria; Pseudomonadati; Pseudomonadota; Gammaproteobacteria; Vibrionales; Vibrionaceae. The record is from RNAcentral.